UCAUAUAAAGGCCAGCCACUGGAGGGAGAGUAUCUCUUGGACCUGGGCUGCUUCCUUAGGUGUGCUGUAUUGCUGGAGAGCCUCUUCUCUAGCUGGCUAAUAAGAACAUCCCCAGGACAGAGAGGAUAAACACUGUGAUUCUUGAGUCCUUCCUGUUACAGCUCUACGCCUUUAAUCACUGAAGUAUUCUUCUUUGAAGGUUUCAGAUGAUUAUACUCAUUUAUGUUGAACUGCAACUCACUUGACAUCUGCUGGAAGCCCAGGAAAUGAAUGAACUUGGAGUAAGAUGAUUUUUCUCCCUGUUGGAGCAAGCUGCUAUAUAGGAUACGUGUGCUUCUGAACUUUAAAUGAGAGACGUUGGCCAGGCAGUGUUGUGGAUGAAAGAGGAAAAUAAAGAAGGCAAGAAGAUAAGAUAUUCAUCUCUUAAACAGCUGGAAACCAGACUUCUCAGUUGCUACAUUUAGCAUAGCAGAAAGGCACAUUAAUAAUUAGGGAAAUUUUCUAAAGUGCAAUGAAGAUGAAACAUAUAUAUAUAAUUACUAUUAAGGUGAUUACAUGUUAACUCAUGGUUCUUCUUGGCCUGAGACAAAUCUACAGUCAAGAAGUUUCUAUAAUUAAUCUUUAUGGGAUAGAUUUCAAAAUGAACUGAUUCUCUCAUCUAAGACUGGUGAAUAGGAGGGAAAAAAAAGGAAGAUUACUGCUGUGUUAAAGGUUUGUAAUACUUAAAGGGAAGACCAGGUGUUUUAAGGAAGGACUUGUAAUUGAGGCAUCAGUUCUGCUCUGGACUUGAAUGCAGAGAGAGUCGGAGCUGUAUCAAACAGGAGGCCUGGCCUCAGUACGCCAUUCCUGACUGUGGAUUGCACUUCCACCUUGCUUUUAUCACUUCAGCCUGUAUGAGCACUUUUAUCCUUUGAAGCUGGUUACAGUGGUGUCUGCACUGUGGAGUUAACUGUUUGACUGCACUGCAUGAGGGCAAAAAACACAUCUAUAGCAUAUUUAAUAAACAAAAUAUGUCCAACUCAUUAAAGAAUGUGUUCCCAGAGAAGUCCAGAUAGCUGAAGAUCUGAGUGCAACUAUUGUUUUCAUCUGUGUCCCUGACUUGGUUUCAUUGCUUUUGUCUUUCUUCUCGAAUGUGUCAGCUAAAAAUGCUGACUGGGAGUGAGAACCCUAACAGUGCAGGAGCUACGAAGUUGAGAUUGCUACAUACUUUGUGCACAAACAGACUUAUUGUAUACAAACAUAGUACUGCAAAUUAUGAAAAAUCACAUUCUUCCCACAUUGUGUAUACCUCUAUCCUUUCAUAGUCACUUGAACACAGUAUGGUAGAGCAAACUGAAUUCCAAGGACUACCCUUGAGCCUUCUGCUGUUUCCAGGAUUUGAUUCUCUGUUGCUUGCUUAUUCAGGUCUUAUUUGAGACCAAGAACUGAAUAAGUAGCAUCUUUAUCUUAACUGUUUCACUAAAUAGUUUCUUCCUCUGGCUUAAGGGCACAAUUUUCACUGUUUUAUUUUAUUUUUUGGAGUUACCUUUCAUCAGGUAUAUAAUGAGCUCCUUUAAAUUCAGAAAGAAGAGAUGGCUUUGCUUGAGAAAUGAUCAUUAACUUGGCAACUUCAGGAGGGCUCUAAGCUUGCUUCUGUGUUAUCUUUCCAUUUUGGUGUGGCAUUUCCCUGUGCAAACCUGAUCCCUCUGAAAACAGCCAGUAAAAACUGAAGAAGUACAAUAUGCAUGUGUGUUCUUUGUGAUGAGAUGAGCGUCCUUGAGCUUUUUACUAUUGUAUUUGUCAUUUUCCCAUCUACUGUACACCUGUCCUAUGCUGGCGCUGUUCAUGGAUGAUUAUCAGUUUCAAAGUCAGAUUUGUUCUUACAAUUAUUUUCUAGUACAUAAUGAAGACUGCUUCCUGUACUCAGUGAAAUGCAGCUAAAUACACAUGGCCCACCUGGCAUCUUUAUCUUUUUUCUACAGCGUAAUAAUCAUAUUUAACAUAAAUAAGUAGCUUUAACAGCCUACAAUAAUAACCCCUUGGCCAGCACACCACAGGUAAGAAGAUGAUACUCCUAAACACUGAGAUGCUGUGAUGGAUCUAGAUGAAACUCAUAGCACUGGUGUUGGCAUAACUAAUAAUGAUAAUUGAGGGGUACACCUGCAGAUUCAGACAAAAGCUUGCACUGGUGUGGCAGCUUGUAAUUAAUAGAUGAGUUCCAGUCAAACCUGUGCAGGA
Molecule: long non-coding RNA, 2217 nt
Organism: Numida meleagris (helmeted guineafowl)
Lineage: Eukaryota; Metazoa; Chordata; Aves; Galliformes; Numididae
Exons: 3
Source: RefSeq, a predicted model, not a curated record